UACAGAGGUCUCAACCGUUGUUCGGAUUCAUUGGGCGUAAAGGGUGCGUAGGCGGUCGCGCAAGUCGGAUGUGAAAUCUCAAGGCUCAACCCUGAAACUGCAUUCGAUACUGCGUGGCUAGAGUGCUGGAGAGGAGACUGGAAUUUACGGUGUAGCAGUGAAAUGCGUAGAUAUCGUAAGGAAGACCAGUGGCGAAGGCGAGUCUCUGGACAGCAACUGACGCUGAGGCACGAAGGCCAGGGGGAGCAAACGGGG
RNAcentral lists this ribosomal RNA (255 nucleotides) under uncultured bacterium. Its description in RNAcentral is "partial 16S ribosomal RNA". It matches the Rfam family "Bacterial small subunit ribosomal RNA", at positions 524 to 777 of the family's 1533-position model. The record is from RNAcentral.